Molecule: non-coding RNA, 1360 nt
Organism: Oncorhynchus mykiss (rainbow trout)
Lineage: Eukaryota; Metazoa; Chordata; Actinopteri; Salmoniformes; Salmonidae
Source: RefSeq, a predicted model, not a curated record
CCUACAGACGAAGAACCAUAUAUGUGACAUUUAAAAAAAAAAAGAGAUAUACAUGAAAAAUCAUUAUUGGACACCAUUUUUCUAUAGUGAACCGGUUUCACAAGCUUUCCAUGCGCUAAUUAACAAUAAUUUUAAAUUUAAAGAUAGGCUCUCGUGGAAUAACCGUUUAUGUGCACCACCUUUCUGUUGCUGAUGAAAAUCACAGAAAUGUGGGAAAGAAAGGUAAAACAAAACUAAAAGAAUGGAAAGACAGGCAAAGGAAGAUCUUACGGGAUGCGGGAAAACCCUAUACAAAUCGUAAGGGUCAAGAAAAAACUGGGAAAAGCUGUCCAAAAGAGCAUGAGGUGAAACGGAGACGUAAACCUGAGGAUACAAAGGAGAACAAACGACGGAAACAAACCUUCAAAUACCAUGUACAGCAAGCAGGCCAGAGAUUGAAUGUGUGCAAGAUGCUGACAGAUGCUGUGGGCAGAAUAACAACUGGCGGAUGCUCAAUCUGAUGUCGAUGCUCGUCUCUAUGGGUUACUUUACCCAAGUUGAGCAGAAGUUCAUGGUCUCUGGUCAUUCUUUUCUUCCUUGUGAUCGAUCUUUUGCCACCAUCGAGAAGAGGCGCAAGGUGUCAGUCCUUCAUACACCGGAUGAUGUUUCAAAGAUGAUACUUGAAGCACAACCAGCAAAACCAUUCAAGGUGAUGAGGAUGCAAUGUGAAGACUUCAGGCACCUCCCAGAUUCUGUCCUCAAGCGACCAGGUGGACUACAGAUCACCUCAGUGAGGUGGUUAAAAGUCACAGUUGAGGAUCCUUGGAAUCUGUACGCCAAACAGAGCCACAGUCUAUUUGAGGGAUGGAAGUCGUGGCUGAUCUCCAAACUAAAAGGAGGAGCUACACCUCAACCUCCCUAUUUUGCAAGCCACUACCCUAGAGCAUAUGAGAGUCCUCUGCCCAUCAAAAACAACAAGUACCAAGAUCUGAUGACCUGCUCAACUACUUGCCAGCUGCUGCACGCUCUUUUUAUGAAUCACUGCAGAGUGAAUAAUUUGUUGUUAAACCAAGCUACAUAAUUAAACGUUUUUUCUGUGAGUUUAUGAUCCCCUGAACCUGUAUACUGUAGUAUGUUGAAUCUAUAUACAUUUCAGAAGACAUGUCACCCCUAUUGUAGGAAAUUAAAUGUAUCGUAGGUGUUUUCUAUGUGAUUCAAUUUGUGUAUGAUUUGAACCAGCACAAUAUAUUGAAUUAAUUUAAUUUUAAGAUGUUGUUCCUAGUGUAGAAAAUGUUAUGUACAAUGUGUUCUGUUGAAUUAUUUUGUGUGAUCAUUUGAACCUUUUUUAAUCUGAAUGAAUUAAAAACAAAUAAGUCAUCAC